This 288-nucleotide long non-coding RNA is filed under the name Physcomitrium patens. RNAcentral describes it as "long non-coding RNA (PPAT_LNC003788)". The record is from RNAcentral. Lineage: Eukaryota; Viridiplantae; Streptophyta; Bryopsida; Funariales; Funariaceae.
UCUUGGAGUUCUAGCUCAUCUUUCUGGUAUUGUUCUUGUACUCAUCUGUUUAAUCUAGUUCUGUCGCUUCUUCUUGAACUUCUUGUUAGAUUUCAAGUCUGUAUUUUGUGUCCGUGACAGUUUGUCGAGACUACACUAACUUGAGAUAUCAGAGCUAGUUCUUUCUUAGUAGAGUGUGGAUUACCCCUCUACUUGAAGGUAUACUAGCAUUUUUUAGAGGUUGCGGAUUACCCUCCUCUAAACUGAUACUUCUUCUAUUACAAUAUUGGAGUCUUAUUCUUCUUGGAG